This 304-nucleotide non-coding RNA is filed under the name Stieleria varia. Lineage: Bacteria; Pseudomonadati; Planctomycetota; Planctomycetia; Pirellulales; Pirellulaceae. The record is from RNAcentral.
AGAUCCCGCCUGGGUAACUGCUAGCCACAGGCCCAGUAUUGAGUGUUGCAGCGGCUGUAUAAGACCGGUGGUCGAAGUCAGUCGUUGAAGCACUGGACUUUCUGGAGCGAGGCAGGCAGAAAGGUAGUGAGGAUGAAUGGACUGUGGGUGGUGUGCGCGGCUGUGAAGGGGAAUAGCUCCGAAAUUUGGUACCUGUUGGCCCCAAUCAGAUGGUUACAGUGCCCAAGGUUUGUGCAUGCCCCAAGGCAAUACUUCACGACGCGUCAUUGGCGAGCUUCGUGGAGAGCCCCGGAGUCGGCGCCCC